GAUGAAGAACGCAGCGAAACGCGAAAGUUAAUGCGAAUUGCAGAAUCAGUGAGUCAUCGAGUUUUUGAACGCACAUUGCGCCUCUUGGUAUUCCAGGAGGCACGCCUGUUCGAGCGCCAUUACAAACUCCAAGCCGCUGCUUGAUGUUGGACGGUGUCCGGAGAGGGACACGUCUGGAACGCGUUGGCGCCGCCGGCGGACCACGAGCGUAGCAAGAUGAAAGUCAAUCGUUCGGUUUUGGAUUCCGUCGGUGGCGGCCUGUCGCACCGUGAGGUCGCACGACGUCACGGUGCUCACCCACACAAAGUUUGGCCUCGGAUCAGGCGGGGAUACCCGCUGAACUUAAGCAUAUCAAUAAGGGAGGA
Molecule: unclassified non-coding RNA, 365 nt
Filed under: soil metagenome
Description: partial contains 5.8S ribosomal RNA, internal transcribed spacer 2, and large subunit ribosomal RNA
Rfam family: 5.8S ribosomal RNA (bases 1-119)
Source: RNAcentral